Molecule: ribosomal RNA, 573 nt
Filed under: Triticum aestivum (bread wheat)
Lineage: Eukaryota; Viridiplantae; Streptophyta; Magnoliopsida; Poales; Poaceae
Description: partial small subunit ribosomal RNA
Source: RNAcentral
AUGAGAAGCCAAGGUGUUAUGCCAAGCGUUGUUACCUACAACUCACUCAUGGACUACCUUUGCAAGCAUGGAAGAAUCAAAGAAGCUGAGGAAAUAUUUUAUUCCAUGGCCGUGAAUGGCCGAAGACCAGAUAUAGUCUCAUACUCUAUUAUGCUCCAUGGGUACGCUAUAGAAGGAUCCCUUGUUGAAAUGAUUGAUCUCUGUGAGCUGAUGGCAAGAGAUGGAGUUGUACCCGACCUCCGUUGUUUCAACAUACUGAUUAAUGCAUAUGCUAAGUAUGGUAGGAUGGAUGUGGCCAUGCUUUUCUUUGAAGACAUGUUGAAGCAGGGUGUGAAGCCUAAUGAAUUCACUUAUUUAACUGUGAUAUCUGCAUUUUGCAAGAUGGGCAGGAUGGAUGAUGCGAUGGAAAAAUUCAGUGAGAUGAUUGAUAUCGGAGUACCACUUGACACAGAAGUUUACAUGUGCAUGGUUGAGGGUUAUUUCAAUCAUGGUGAUUCCAUGAAAGCCGAGGAAUUUAUUACCAGAAUGAAGAACAAGGAUAUUAAUCAUAAGCCGUGGGAAGGUAAUCGAUGA